RNAcentral lists this ribosomal RNA (372 nucleotides) under uncultured organism. RNAcentral's name for it is "bacterial SSU rRNA". It matches the Rfam family "Bacterial small subunit ribosomal RNA", at positions 526 to 896 of the family's 1533-position model. The record is from RNAcentral.
CGGAGGGUGCAAGCGUUAAUCGGAAUUACUGGGCGUAAAGCGCGCGUAGGCGGCUUUGUAAGUCGGAUGUGAAAGCCCUGGGCUUAACCUGGGAAUUGCAUUCGAUACUGCUUAGCUAGAGUAUGGUAGAGGGAAGUGGAAUUUCCGGUGUAGCGGUGAAAUGCGUAGAUAUCGGAAGGAACACCAGUGGCGAAGGCGACUUCCUGGGCCAAUACUGACGCUGAGGCGCGAAAGCGUGGGGAGCAAACAGGAUUAGAUACCCUGGUAGCCCACGCCGUAAACGAUGAGAACUAGAUGUCGGGGGAACUCAGUCUCCCGGUGUCGCAGCUAACGCGUUAAGUUCUCCGCCUGGGGAGUACGCCGGCAACGGUA